UACGAAGGGGGCUAGCGUGGCUCGGAAUCACUGGGCGUAAAGCGCACGUAGGCGGACUCUUAAGUCAGGGGUGAAAUCCUGGAGCUCAACUCCAGAACUGCCUUUGAUACUGGGAGUCUUGAGUUCGGGAGAGGUGAGUGGAACUGCGAGUGUAGAGGUGAAAUUCGUAGAUAUUCGCAAGAACACCAGUGGCGAAGGCGGCUCACUGGCCCGAUACUGACGCUGAGGUGCGAAAGCGUGGGGAGCAAACAGG
RNAcentral lists this ribosomal RNA (253 nucleotides) under uncultured bacterium. RNAcentral's name for it is "partial 16S ribosomal RNA". It matches the Rfam family "Bacterial small subunit ribosomal RNA", at positions 524 to 776 of the family's 1533-position model. The record is from RNAcentral.